Molecule: long non-coding RNA, 307 nt
Organism: Sinocyclocheilus grahami
Lineage: Eukaryota; Metazoa; Chordata; Actinopteri; Cypriniformes; Cyprinidae
Exons: 4
Source: RefSeq, a predicted model, not a curated record
AAGAAACUUCAAGCAUGUGCCUGAACAGUUCUGAAAAGAAGAAGUAGCAGGAGUUUCAAAUGGAGUUUUUACGUCGGUAUUUCUGGGCAGCAUUACUGCUGGCCAUCAUUCUGGUCUCUCUGGUGAUAGUAAUGAUUUUCAUAAUCAUCAAUGUUUGCAUCAGUAAAAGAGCUGCUUGGUACAGUACACAAGCAAAACCAGAUCAUUACGGUGACACAAAUGUAAAAAAACAGAACAACCAAGUUUAUCAUAAAGAGCUUGAGAUAGAGAAACCACCUUUACCUCCCAGAGAUCAGUUCAGAGAAUC